UGAAAUUGAUAGGAAUUCAAAAAAUCACCAAUUUUUUAGUCGUCAGUUUCUCCCCCCUUGUUUACUUAAUCCGCGCCUCCUUCGCCGAAAACAGAACAACCUUAAGGCAGCUUAAACCCCAUAUCACAACCCCUUCUAAGUUAAACGCAGGAACUCCAGUCAACUUCAUCCUCCAGAGCACCGGCACCAAUAACGCCGCACCGCAUUCUAUUGCCGUCGCCUAACAUCGUGCGUGACGUCGGCCCUUGCUCCUUGGAAGGUCGUCCCUAUCUUCGUUGUUUGGAAGGUCGUCCCCAUCUUCAGUUACCACAAUGGCGAGCAAGGUUGUGAGGUUGUCCUUUGCUCAAGUUUUGACGGUGAUUUCUCAAAAGUAGAACGUUAUCUUGGGGGAAGUUUAUAAGAAGUAGUACACAUCAAACCCCUUAUCUCCACCCUAAGAAGUAAGAAGACUAAAGCCAUUCACAGAAGGCUCACCAAGCACCAGACCAAGCAGUUCCAGCAAAACCAAAACAAGCAGUAGCCCUUGUUUGUCUUCUUUCCACAUAGUUCUGACGCAGUUCCAGCACGUCGGCGCCGCCUGUAGCAGCGUCCUCCAUCCACUGUUGCUGCAACACCCCUAUCUCCUUUCUUUUUGCAUUGUUCUAGUUUUCUGCUUCCAGGAUUAAUCAAAUGCCAAGGAAACCUCGGUACACCGUUAGUACUGCAGUCGGAACUAUAACUACCCCUGAUAGUCAAACCCACGCUACUCUGUAACUACUUUGUUUUUAGCACGUGGAUGGAACGAAGGAUACGGGAGCAAAUACUUCAAGUGCAUAGCGAUGUGGUAGAGCGCCUCCACCUCCGCAUUCCGGCAACGGUGUUCGACAAUCUCGUGUUAGUGCUGUACCGUUUUGACCACUGCGCAAUGAAACACGAUUGGCUCUGUCAAGUGACAUGGGGGACACUUGAGCUCCUGCAACACACACAGAACAUCCGGAUUUACAUGAAGUUGUAGAUGACUCUUUAGAAGAUGAAGACUAUGACCCGGAGGCAAAUGAGGUCAAUUCAUUCGAUGACCAUGUCGACGACUUAUUUGCCGCACAUGACGUUGAACGUCAAGGCAAUGCCAACAGCAAAAAAAAGGACACUGAUUUUUGGGUUGUUGAUGUCAUCGAAAAUGGCGUGACUUCUUGUAUGGAGCUGACUGUUAAAGAGGCAUUAACACUUCCUCCUGGAAGGAAGAUCGUACUCCAACAUAACAGAGAGUUGCAACAAGUUCGACAGGCAGCAGGCCUAUUGAGCGGGUUCUUGGGGACUUUGGGGGCUGAUUUUCAACAGUUACCAAUUUGUGAAACUAGUUGGAAGACAAUGAACAAGGCUUUCAAGGAGCAUGUGUUUGACCAGGUUAAGGUAAUUUUUAAGUUUGUUGAUAAAGUAAGGCGUUACCACUGCUUGAAGUUUUUUUGGGUCGUUCAACUGUUUUUCAAGUGUAAAAAGCUUUUUUUUUUCUCUUAAAUGAACAGUAUAAGGGAAAGAUGAAGAGGCACACACAUGAUAUUGACCAUACAAAUUUUUAGAGAAUAUCGAUAUAUAUAUAAGGACUUUUUUGUUUAGUGUAAAUUGCACUACGUUAUUAUAUAGCUUAGUCCCCAAUUAAUCCAGUCCUUCGUGUAUCGCAAUGUAACUAAUAAUUAUAGUAAUAAUAAUAACAAUAAUAAUAAUAAAACUUAUAAACCUCAUGAGAAUGUUAAAGCUGCUCCUAUAGUAAACAAUUAGAGAGUGACUAGCUAUUAUUUAUGACUUUUGUUUAAUCAAAAUGUCAGAAGAAAAUAAAUAUGGAACACAUUUGCACAAGUUGAAUCUGUUACUCUACUAACUUUGAAAAUUUGAAUGUUUUGUGGUUUUAAUUUUUUUUUUGAGAGAUUAUUUGAUUAUUGACUAGCUCUGGUUAUGCUAUUUUUCUGUUCUGCUAUUCUCCGUCAGUAGGUGGAUUUCUUUGGUUUUCUAUUUUUCUGUUUUUGUCUGGUAAAUUAGAGAAGGAUAGUGCAUGUUGGGUUUCUAUUUGUUCACUACUUUGAAUUUUAUUGCUGAGAAUUGUUCAUGUCUGUUUCAAGUGGUUAAUUAUUAUAUGUUUUCUUUCUGUUAAUUUUUAGUCUGCUCCUCCUCAACCCUCUCGACCAAAAACCCCUUCACCUUUCAACUUUGUUAUUUCUGUCCCUGCCUGUAGAAAGCUAUUGUAGAAGAGAUUCAACUUGAUUCCUUUAAUAGGAUUUGAUGGGUUCCUUUACCAAAAAGUUUUAAUAGAUUGUAUUAGUAACUAAUACCAUUAUUUAAUGAAGUGAUAUAUACUUGAUCACUACUAAGCUGGUCCAGCAAGGGGAUUCUUCUCAUAUCUCCAAUAAUGAUUUUUCCAUUAUCAUUAUUGGGAACGUUCUGUGGCAUGUAUUAUUUUUGUGGCAUGUAUGAUCAGGUGAGCGUUCCAUCAAGAUUUGAUUUGAUCCUGUUACUGAUAAGGUGUAUGUUAGGAGGGAAUAUAGACGGUCAGAGUGUCUUUCAUGCACUUGUUCCUAGCUAACUUUGAUUACUGAAAAACAAAUACUUAAUAUUGAGCCAUCUUUGUCAAGGGUCUCUUUAUUCUUGAAGUUCAUGAUCAAGGUCCACCUACUAUGAUUUUUUGUCUGUAUGAUAAGUUCUUGUUAACCUUUAUGUGGACCAAGUUAUGUGGGCUUAUGUGAUUAGGCAUGCUUAUAUUGGAUGUAUGUGACUUUUGAUCUUUAUAUGGUUAUAUUGGUUGUGAAACUUGCAUUUUGAACUUAGCCUUUAGGAUAAAGUUUCCAUGGUAGAAAGCUCUCAAUCAUAUUUGCUUGUGUGUUGAUUUGAUCACUCGUGUAUAAAGUUCUGUGAUGUAGAAUGGAUGUGGAGUUAAAGUUAAGUGGUUACAAUGACGGUGUGAAAGCACUGAUAGAAGAUCUUUAUCAUCUUCAUUGUGCUAUCUUAUAAUCUGAACUAUUUGUAACGAGUCUUUCACUAUGAUGACGAUGGAAGAUGGAGAAUAAAGCGGGAAAUUGUACAAAGAAUAGGAAGAUCCUAGAGGAACGCAAGAAAUCAUUUGUUCUAUAAGGUUUAUGACAAAGAACUAACUUUUGAGAAAAACCUCAAGCGUAAGCCAUCAAGAAUAGAUGCAAAUCACUGGAAAUAGUUUAUUGAAUAUCGGUUGAAGGAGGACACACAGGUAACAAAUAUUGAGUUGGUAUUUCAUUGUAUUCGAUUUUAAACCGUUAUGAAUUACUACUAAAUAUGCUGAAUUUAUUGUGAUAGUGGAAAAACUACUACCGAAAAUAUCUUCACCUUAUCCUUUUUUGUGUUUCCUGAAGUUGUACAUGGAUGACUUAUAAACCAUUAACAUUGUAGUAAUUUAUCUCGAUAACAUUUAUGUUUUUCUUUUUGUUCGUAGGAGAAAUGUAGAAAAAAUGCCAUUAAUCGUUCAAAGCAACUGUAUACACAUACUGGAGGUUCUAAAACAAUGGCAAGAAAGAGACACAAAGAAAUAAUUAAUUUAAAUUCAGUUUCAGAAUUUUGACUUGUUUUUAGUAAUAUAGUGUUGUCUGUUAUAUGAUUGUGUCUUGAUGAAUGUUAUAGGAGCAACGACAGGGAAGGCCUAUUGGUAGAGGAGAGAUAUGGACCAUGAGUCAUAAAAAAAGAAUGGUUUGCAUAUGAAUGAACAUGCGCGCGUUGUUGGGGUAAAUCAUGUAGAUAUAGGUUUUCCUCUCUCUUUUGUCACAUGUCUAUUUCUAUUUUAUUGAUUCUUUUAAUCGAAUAUUUUUUUAAUAUUCUCCCUGUAUGUCCAAAAUACAAAUAAAAUUAUACCAUUUUUUUAA
Molecule: non-coding RNA, 3857 nt
Organism: Arachis ipaensis
Lineage: Eukaryota; Viridiplantae; Streptophyta; Magnoliopsida; Fabales; Fabaceae
Source: RefSeq, a predicted model, not a curated record